Molecule: ribosomal RNA, 496 nt
Filed under: uncultured bacterium
Lineage: Bacteria
Description: bacterial SSU rRNA
Rfam family: Bacterial small subunit ribosomal RNA
Source: RNAcentral
GUGAACGCUGGCGGCGUGCUUAACACAUGCAAGUCGAGCGAUAUUUGACAGCGUAUCGUCAGGUAUAGCGGCAGACGGGUGAGUAAUACUUGGGCAAUCUGCCCUUGAGUGGGGGACAACCUGCCGAAAGGCGGGCUAAUACCCCAUAAGACCACAGGGAUGCAUAUUCCAGGGGUCAAAGCUCCGCAAGGGGCGCUUGAGGAGGAGCCCGAGUCCUAUCAUGGUAGUUGGCGGGGUAAUGGCCCACCAAGCCGUUGACGGGUAGCCGGCCUGAAAGGGCAAACGGCCACACUGGCACUGAGACACGGGCCAGACUCCUACGGGAGGCAGCAGUGGGGAAUUUUGGACAAUGGGGGCAACCCUGAUCCAGCGACGCCGCGUGGAGGAUGAAGGUCUUCGGAUUGUAAACUCCUUUGGAGGGAUGAAUGGCUUGGUGAAUAGCCAAGCGUGACAGUACUCACAGAAGAAGCACCGGCUAACUACGUGCCAGCCGCCG